This 251-nucleotide ribosomal RNA is filed under the name uncultured bacterium. RNAcentral describes it as "partial 16S ribosomal RNA". It matches the Rfam family "Bacterial small subunit ribosomal RNA", at positions 524 to 776 of the family's 1533-position model. The record is from RNAcentral.
UACGAAGGGUGCAAGCGUUACUCGGAAUUACUGGGCGUAAAGCGCGCGUAGGCGGCUGCCUAAGUCGGAUGUGAAAGCCCCGGGCUCAACCUGGGAACUGCAUUCGAUACUGGGCGGCUAGAGUAUGAGAGGGAGGUAGAAUUCCACGUGUAGCGGUGAAAUGCGUAGAUAUGUGGAGGAAUACCGGUGGCGAAGGCGGCCUUCUGGACAGUGACUGACGCUGAGACGCGAAAGCGUGGGGAGCAAACAGG